GAUGAACGCUGGCGGCGUGCCUAAUACAUGCAAGUCGAGCGAACGGACGAUAAUCUUGCUUCUCUGAUGUUUGCGGCGGACGGGUGAGUAACACGUGUAUAACCCACCUAUAAGACUGGGAUAACUUCGGGAAACCGGAGCUAAUACCGUAUAAUAUUUUGAACCGCAUGGGUCAAAGGUGAAAGACGGUCGUGCUGUCACUUAUAGAUGGAUCCGCGCUGGAUUGGCUAGUUGGUAAGGUAACAGCUUACCAAGGCAACGAGGCAUAGCCGAGGGGAGAGGGUGAUCGGCGACACUGGAGGUUGGCCACGCUCCUGGGUCCUACGAGAGGGAGCAGAAGGGAAUGUUCCGCAAUGGUGGAAAGCCUGACGGAACAAGCCCGAGUGAGUGAUGAAGGCCUUCGGAUCGUAAAACUCUGUUAUUAGGGAAAAACCUAUGUCUACGGAAACGUACAGAUCUUGACGGUACCUGAUCAGAAAGCAACGGCUAACUACGUG
Molecule: ribosomal RNA, 497 nt
Filed under: uncultured bacterium
Lineage: Bacteria
Description: partial 16S ribosomal RNA
Rfam family: Bacterial small subunit ribosomal RNA
Source: RNAcentral